AGCGGAAGGGAUCAUUAUAGAGUUAUCACAACUCCCAAACCCAUGUGAACUUACCAGUUUGUUGCCUCGGCGGUCUUGUCGUUAAAAGGCGAGCCCGCCGAAGGUUACUUCUAAACUCUUGAUAUUCAGUUGUCAUCUGAGCGUUUUUUCCAAAUAAGUUAAAACUUUCAACAACGGAUCUCUUGGUUCUGGCAUCGAUGAAGAACGCAGCGAAAUGCGAUAAGUAAUGUGAAUUGCAGAAUUCAGUGAAUCAUCGAAUCUUUGAACGCACAUUGCGCCUAUUAGUAUUCUAGUAGGCAUGCCUGUUCGAGCGUCAUUUCAACCCUUAAGCCUAGCUUAGUGUUGGGAAUUUACGGAACCGUAAUUCCUCAAAGACCGUGGCAGAGCUGAACAAACCUCUGAGCGUAGUAAUUUUAUCUCGCUUUUGCUGGUGGUUCGGCUGUAGCCAUAAGCCUUAUAUUUUCUAAUGGUUGACCUCGGAUCAGGUAGGAAUACCCGCUGAACUUAAGCAUAUCAAUAAGCGGAGGAAAAGAAACCAACAGGGAUUGCCCUAGUAACGGCGAGUGAAGCGGCAACAGCUCAAAUUUGAAAUCUGGCCUCUGGUCCGAAUUGUAAUUUGUAGAGGAUGCUUUUGGUGAGGUGCCUUCCGAGUUCCCUGGAACGGGACGCCAUAGAGGGUGAGAGCCCCGUACGGUUGGAUGCCGAGCCUCUGUAAAGCUCCUUCGACGAGUCGAGUAGUUUGGGAAUGCUGCUCAAAAUGGGAGGUAAAUUUCUUCUAAAGCUAAAUACCGGCCAGAGACCGAUAGCGCACAAGUAGAGUGAUCGAAAGAUGAAAAGCACUUUGAAAAGAGGGUUAAAUAGCACGUGAAAUUGUUGAAAGGGAAGCGCUUGUGACCAGAACUUUGUCUUGCGGAUCAUCCGGUGUUCUCACCGGUGCACUUCGCUUGAUUGAGGCCAGCAUCGGUUUUCGUAGGGGGAUAAAGGCUUUGGGAACGUAGCUCCUCGGAGUGUUAUAGCCCAUUGUGUAAUACCCUUAUGG
Molecule: ribosomal RNA, 1039 nt
Filed under: uncultured fungus
Lineage: Eukaryota; Fungi
Description: eukaryotic LSU rRNA
Rfam family: Eukaryotic large subunit ribosomal RNA (bases 472-1039)
Source: RNAcentral